CACUAACAUAUAAACUAAUAUAUAUAUAUAUAUAUACUAACAUAUAUUAUAAAGCAUAUACUAACAUAUAUUAUAAAGCAUACACUAACAUAUAUAAUAAAGCAUAAAAUUAAAUUUACAUAUUCAAUUUACAUACACUAAUUAAUAAUAUAAUUAAUAAUAAUAUAAUUAAUUAUGUUAGCAUUAUAUAAUUAAUAAUAAUUAUUAUUUAUAUACAAAGAGAUAAAAAAGACAUAAUAAUUAAUUUAAUAUUAAUAAUAAUAUUUAUUGAUUUCCAUAUAUACAUACAUCAUACAUAAAAAGAUAGGCACAAAUUAAUUAAAUACAUGCAUAUAAUAUUUACAUACAAAGGAUUAAAGACAUAAUAAUUAAUUAAAUUAUGUUAGCAUUAUAUAUAAAGGCACAAAUUCUCACUUCUCCCUCACUGGGAAUAUAUAUUAUUAAAAAUAUAAUUAUUAAUAAUAUAAUUAAUUAUGUUAGUAUUAUAUAAUUAAUAAUAACUAUUAUUUAUAUACAAAGAGAUAAAAAAAGACAUAAUAAUUAAUUAAAUAUUAAUAAUAAUAUUUAUUGAUUUCUAUAUAUACAUCCAUCAUACAUAUAUGAAUAAUUAAAGUUAAAAAAAGAAAAAAACCUCAAUUCUCACUUCUCCCUCACUGGGCCGGCUUUGAGCUAGCCCACUACGUCCCCUCUGACAAGUGGGGCCCCUGUGUCGGGGUCGUCCCCUACCUUGGGCCGUCGCUCUUAGGCUGGCCGCCUCUCUCCUCCACGACCGGCCGCCACCACCGCAAAACCCUAGCCGUUGCGCCGCUAUUCGCACCCCCGCACCGCCGCCAUUCGCACCCGCCGCAGCAGCGCCCGCCAAACCCUAGCCGCCGCUGCACAUAAAACCGUCGC
Molecule: long non-coding RNA, 894 nt
Filed under: Sorghum bicolor (sorghum)
Lineage: Eukaryota; Viridiplantae; Streptophyta; Magnoliopsida; Poales; Poaceae
Description: long non-coding RNA (SBIC_LNC006144)
Source: RNAcentral